AUGAAUGAAGCAGAAAAGGGCAAAAGCCAUUUCUUGGAGAAUGACAAGGUCAGUAGCCUCGGUUGCUACACAUGUGGUUAUACGACUCACAAUGCAAGGAAAUGUGAUACUUCCAUGCAUUUGGUGGAUCUGUACAUCCAUCAAUUGGCUAAGGGCAAGAGGCCCAUGGGAACAAGUGUGAAUCUUACUUCACUUGCAAUAACAAUGAUUUCCCAAUGGUUGAAAGUUCCCAGAUGUUCCUCGGAACAUGGGCAACUAGGAUCAUGCUCAGCAAAAGGAAAGUCCACUAUUGAGUAUCGAUGA
RNAcentral lists this ribosomal RNA (303 nucleotides) under Triticum aestivum (bread wheat). Its description in RNAcentral is "partial small subunit ribosomal RNA". Lineage: Eukaryota; Viridiplantae; Streptophyta; Magnoliopsida; Poales; Poaceae. The record is from RNAcentral.